This 3105-nucleotide small RNA is filed under the name Pan troglodytes (chimpanzee). RNAcentral describes it as "retained intron". Lineage: Eukaryota; Metazoa; Chordata; Mammalia; Primates; Hominidae. The record is from RNAcentral.
AAUAAAUUGGACAGUGUACCCUCUACGUCUAAUUCAGACUGUGUUGCUGCUGAUGAAGACGUUAUUUACCAUAUCCAGUAUGAUGAAUACCCAGAAAGCGGUACUCUAGAAAUGAAUGUCAAGGAUCUUAGACCACGAGCUAGAACCAUUUUGAAAUGGAAUGAACUAAAUGUUGGUGAUGUGGUAAUGGUUAAUUAUAAUGUAGAAAGUCCUGGACAAAGAGGAUUCUGGUUUGAUGCAGAAAUUACCACAUUGAAGACAAUCUCAAGGACCAAAAAAGAACUUCGUGUGAAAAUUUUCCUGGGGGGUUCUGAAGGAACAUUAAAUGACUGCAAGAUAAUAUCUGUAGAUGAAAUCUUCAAGAUUGAGAGACCUGGAGCCCAUCCUCUUUCAUUUGCAGAUGGAAAGUUUUUAAGGCGAAAUGACCCUGAAUGUGACCUGUGUGGUGGAGACCCAGAAAAGAAAUGUCAUUCUUGCUCCUGUCGUGUAUGUGGUGGGAAACAUGAACCCAACAUGCAGCUUCUAUGUGAUGAAUGUAAUGUGGCUUAUCAUAUUUACUGUCUGAAUCCACCUUUGGAUAAAGUCCCAGAAGAGGAAUACUGGUAUUGUCCUUCUUGUAAAACUGAUUCCAAUGAAGUUGUAAAGGCUGGUGAAAGACUCAAGAUGAGUAAAAAGAAAGCAAAGAUGCCAUCAGCUAGUACUGAAAGCCGAAGAGACUGGGGCAGGGGAAUGGCUUGUGUUGGUCGUACGAGAGAAUGUACUAUUGUCCCUUCUAAUCAUUAUGGACCCAUUCCUGGUAUUCCUGUUGGAUCAACUUGGAGAUUUAGAGUUCAGGUGAGCGAAGCAGGUGUUCACAGACCCCAUGUUGGUGGAAUUCAUGGUCGAAGUAAUGAUGGGGCUUAUUCUCUUGUACUGGCUGGUGGAUUUGCGGAUGAAGUCGACCGAGGUGAUGAGUUCACAUACACUGGAAGCGGUGGUAAAAAUCUUGCUGGUAACAAAAGAAUUGGCGCACCUUCAGCUGAUCAAACAUUAACAAACAUGAACAGGUACUACUAUAGACACUGUUUAGAAUUUGAACAUUGAAUAAAAGUUUCAUUAUAGGACUGUAAAUUGUAACUUACAUUGCAGAGGAGAAUUUCAAACUGGGAGUUAAAGAUCUGAAAUUAAAAUUCCAGUGCCUGAUUAUGUAAUUGUUUAUCAGCAUCCUAACAUAUCUUUAUACUGUUAUUUUUAAAUGCCAUAAUUUCUAGUCUUACUGAAUACAUGUGAUAUGCAUUUGAAAAUGUUAACAACUUUGAAGGAAAGGAGCCUGUGUAAUUUAAGUGAAAUUGAGAAUAAGGUGGCUUGUCUACUGCUCCAUUGGUCAAAGCUAAAAGUGACAAACUCCUUUUUAGAGUAAACUCAGUAAUUUGAAAUAAAACUAUGUUUGGGAGCCACAUUUAUGUACAUAAAUGAAACAUAAGGUAACUUAAUCAGAUCUGUACUGAAUGUACUUUUAGAAUGUCUGCUAAUCAGAUAUCUUCUAAGAGUUGUUAAAGGGAAUGUUCAUUUAGUUACAAAAGUGGUCUUUUCUAACUAAAUCCCCUUAAGACAUUACAAAAGAGCCACCGUGUGCUGAUCUUUAUUCUAUAGAAAUACUAAUGACAUCUCAGCUCCCAUGGGUACAGAAAAUUUAUUAAUUUCAAAAUGUUUUAUUUUAUAAAUGCAUGCUAAUACCAAUAUUAAUAAGUAACCCAGACCACCAGAUAGCAAAAAUCACAUUAUAGUUUGUCCUGCUGAAAUUUUUGUGAACAUUUCAUAAACAGUUUUUAUAUCCUGUUAUUAAGGGUAUUUUGUCGAUUGAGUAAAAGUGAGUGUUUUUCACUUUGAGUCUAAAUCACUCAGUUUUAAGUAGUGUCCCCUUAAUUUCUGAUUACUGUGUGAUGUAAAGAAUAUACCAGUAUGAUUUCAAGACUUUCAUGCGUAUCAAUUUACAUAGAAUCUCUGUUUUUAUGUGUUCUGUAUUAUUUCUGAUAGUAGGAUUAUUUUUACUGAACCAGCAGAGGAGACAGGUCAGAUUUGCUGGUGAAAACAUUCUUGAGACAGGAGCUUAGCUGCUCUUUUCUAGCAAGAAAGCAGUCCUUCAAGAAGAAUGUCUUAAAAUAAAUAUUUUGAUGUGUUUUUGUCAAUGAAAAUGUAUCUCAAAUUUGCAAAAGGACUCUUUCAAGUUGUCAAAUCUGAAAAUUAUUUUUCCCUUUAAUAAUCGAUAAUUUUGCUUGAAAGGAACUUCCUUCAUAACUACCCACCAUUGUAAUGUACAUGUUAAGAUUCCUUUCACACUUUUGGACAAUCUGAUAAGUACCGCUACAAUCUCAGUAGAAAAUAAUUGACAAGCAGUAAACAUGUUUGCUAUAAACAGGAGAUAGUGAAAAUGAAAUAUCAACUGAAAACAAUUUAGGAUUGAAUUAUCAGAGAGACUUUAACAUCUGGUCAGUUUAUACGUUAAGUUGUGAAUACGCCUUGUGAUUGUAAAAGUGCUUGGGCAAAGGUUACCUGUAUGUCUUACAAACAUGAAAACUGAGGUGAAAGGCACUUUGCUCUGACCCAUAGUAUACUCUUUGCCCAGUAGUGUAUGGUUGAAUUCAUUUUUGCAUCUUUGCUAAGAGGUAGUUCGACACCUUGCUUCUGAGUUUAUUCCUAUUUCUUCCCCGCUCUUCAAACUUUAAGAAACUGAAGAGGGCAGCAAAGUAACCUGGCCAUCUUUUAUCAGGGCAGUCAGAGGCACCUGACUGGUUGAGUGGCAGAUAGAUUAAUGGAGGAGCUUUGUUACUGUAUUGCCUAGUUUCAUCCUCUUGGACUCUUUUCAUAUACUUGAAUAGCCUAAUUAUCCUGAAGCCAGAAGUGAGUUGACAGUGCCAGUUAGUGGUGGCAGUAAUUAUGACUGAAGGUAUCUGUGAGCAUUAAAGCAUUCCAUUCAGUGACAUGAAUGAAACUUACCCUAGCUCUUUAAGAUAAAAUAGGUGUAAUAUCUCAAUAGGUAUUCUGUAAGACGUAAUACUAGCCCUAGAGUUGAUGGCUGUGUUUUUUUCUACCUCUCAGAAUUUUAAUGCAUCUUCCUUUUAGAUU